CUCUUCGGGGAUGAUUAAACCGGCGCACGGGUGAGUAACACGUGAGUGACCUGCCUUUUAGACUGGAACAACUUACCGAAAGGUGAGCUAAUGCCGGAUGAGUUAUAUAAGUGCAUGUUUAUAUAGGAAAAGUUGGGGAGACCUGACGCUGAAAGAUGGACUCGCGUCCCAUCAGCUGGUUGGUAGGGUAAUGGCCUACCAAGGCGACGAUGGGUAGCCGGCCUGAGAGGGUGGCCGGCCACACUGGGACUGAGACACGGCCCAGACUCCUACGGGAGGCAGCAGUGGGGAAUUUUGCGCAAUGCUCGUAAGAGUGACGCAGCGACGCCGCGUGAAUGACGAAGGCCUUCGGGUCGUAAAGUUCUUUCGACAGGGAAGAAAAUGCCUAUAAGUAACUGUGUAUGUAUUGACGGUACCUGUAUAAGCAGCCCCGGCUAACUCCGUGCCAGCAGCCGCGGUAAUACGGAGGGGGCGAGCGUUGUUCGGAGUGACUGGGCGUAAAGAGCACGUAGGCGGUGUUGUAAGUCAUUAGUCAAAGACUAGAGCUCAACUUUAGUAAGGCUAGUGAUACUAUAAUACUAGAGUAUCAGAGAGGAUUGCAGAAUUCCUGGUGUAGCGGUGAAAUGCGUAGAUAUCAGGAGGAAUACCGUUAGCGAAGGCGGCAAUCUGGCUGGAAACUGACGCUGAGGUGCGAAAGCGUGGGUAGCAAACAGGAUUAGAUACCCUGGUAGUCCACGCUGUAAACGAUGGAUGCUAGGUGUUGGGCUUUUAAGUUCAGUGCCGCAGCAAACGCGAUAAGCAUCCCGCCU
Molecule: ribosomal RNA, 809 nt
Filed under: uncultured bacterium
Lineage: Bacteria
Description: bacterial SSU rRNA
Rfam family: Bacterial small subunit ribosomal RNA
Source: RNAcentral